AAGAAGACGCGCACACACACGUACACAGAAUUACAUUAUUCACAAACUGAACAAAAAUGGCUAAUAAUCCCACAACAAACCUUGCCCAAAGCUACUAUUGGCCAUCAAGCCCUCCCCAGCUGCCGCUGUUAGCUCAUCGAACAGACACCCACCACCGUAACUAUCCUCCCCGCUCUGCAGCCAUGGUGGAGGAUACNACCCAUCCCUCCACUGAGUCAUCCAACAGAAAAUCGUUCUUCAACUCGGACGCGUCGUAACUCGUCUCCAGACUCGGCAAUUCCACGAUCUCACUCAACUCGUCUUCUGAUCCCGUAGAUAAAUCCAUCGCCGAUACCAGCGAGGAUAAAGAAUUGGUGGAAGCCAAAGAUAUUGAGGAAGAUGUUUUUGAGUCGAGCUUUUGGUCAAAUAUGUCCAUUUGGGCUGCCUUGGCUGCGGCUGCUUGCACGUCGCGAGGGGCGAGUGAUGCAGGUCGAGGAAGGUAGUUGGCGAGCUCGGGAAAGUUGAGAAUGGUGGAGUUGCCUUUGAUGCUUAAGGCAGCAACGUCAUGGGCUCGAGCUGCCAUUUCAGGGGUAGGGAAGGUACCGAGCCAAAUGCGGGAUUUCUUGCGGGGCUCGCGAAUUUCAGACACCCAUUUGCCCCAGUUCCGCAUGCGAACUCCACGGUAGACUGGGUGUUUGUUGGAGUCCCGUAAGCGUUUGAUCUUUUUGGUUGGGGAGUGUCCGUCUUGUAGGUCUAGUUGUUGUUGUUGGGGUUUUGAUGGGACAGAGUUAGAGUUUGGGUUGGAGACUGAAUGGUUUGACCCUGGUGAGGAGGGUGAGGGUGGUGAUGAAGAUGACGAUGACGAUGGCGAUGACGAUGAGUUUGAGCUGCUUUCCAUCUCUGAAUUUUGAGUUUGCUCAGUCAUCUUUCUUUCUUUAGUGGACACUCAGUUUUUUAAGGCUAAUUACUAGUGAAUCAGUGAAUGAUCAGCAAUGAUUAUUCAAGCUGUUUGCUAGUGCUUGUAAUUUUGAAGCAGAAGACAGAAAGCAUCCACGUAAUAUGUAGAGAAAUUGAAAAGGCCUGGUUAAGCUAAGCAGUUAAAGUAGAGAUGGAGAUUGUCAGGCAUGUACCUAGAAGAUGAGAGUUAGAGACGGAGAGGUAGAGCAGUAGUAGUUGGGCAGCAGGCAAAUGAAGGAAUUAAAGGAAAAGGGAAGGAGGGAGUGACACAUAUGAAGCUUGGAAGAGGUCGAGCUUGAUUAAGGAGGGC
RNAcentral lists this unclassified non-coding RNA (1246 nucleotides) under Hevea brasiliensis (rubber tree). The record is from RNAcentral. Lineage: Eukaryota; Viridiplantae; Streptophyta; Magnoliopsida; Malpighiales; Euphorbiaceae.